GAGAGGACCGGAGUGGACGCAUCACUGGUGUUCGGGUUGUCAUGCCAAUGGCACUGCCCGGUAGCUAAAUGCGGAAAAGAUAAGUGCUGAAAGCAUCUAAGCACGAAACUUGCCCCGAGAUGAGUUCUCCCUGAGACUUUAAGUCUCCUGAAGGAACGUUGAAGACGACGACGUUGAUAGGUCGGGUGUGUAAGCGCAGCGAUGCGUUGAGCUAACCGAUACUAAUGAACCGUGAGGCUUAACCUU
Molecule: ribosomal RNA, 246 nt
Filed under: Enterobacter roggenkampii
Lineage: Bacteria; Pseudomonadati; Pseudomonadota; Gammaproteobacteria; Enterobacterales; Enterobacteriaceae
Description: partial 23S ribosomal RNA
Rfam family: Bacterial large subunit ribosomal RNA
Source: RNAcentral